RNAcentral lists this ribosomal RNA (366 nucleotides) under Achromobacter sp. 178R. RNAcentral's name for it is "bacterial SSU rRNA". It matches the Rfam family "Bacterial small subunit ribosomal RNA", at positions 974 to 1345 of the family's 1533-position model. Lineage: Bacteria; Pseudomonadati; Pseudomonadota; Betaproteobacteria; Burkholderiales; Alcaligenaceae. The record is from RNAcentral.
CCUACCCUUGACAUGUCUGGAAUGCCGAAGAGAUUUGGCAGUGCUCGCAAGAGAACCGGAACACAGGUGCUGCAUGGCUGUCGUCAGCUCGUGUCGUGAGAUGUUGGGUUAAGUCCCGCAACGAGCGCAACCCUUGUCAUUAGUUGCUACGAAAGGGCACUCUAAUGAGACUGCCGGUGACAAACCGGAGGAAGGUGGGGAUGACGUCAAGUCCUCAUGGCCCUUAUGGGUAGGGCUUCACACGUCAUACAAUGGUCGGGACAGAGGGUCGCCAACCCGCGAGGGGGAGCCAAUCCCAGAAACCCGUCGUAGUCCGGAUCGCAGUCUGCAACUCGACUGCGUGAAGUCGGAAUCGCUAGUAAUCGC